UUUAGGGUUUCAGUGAAAUCUGCUUCUCCUGCACUCCGCCAGCCAAAGAAGUACAAAGAAAAAGACAUUUUGCUCUCCAGACGAUCCUCAGCUGACAAACCAGCUCAGUCCUCAGUGAAGCCUGCAGAGAGCAGUAGCUGUUCCAGCCCCUGUGCUAGUCCUCCUUCUCCAGUGUCUGGAAAGGGGCUAACGGCGGGCCUGUCAGCUAAAGGAGCGAGGAGAAGCUGAGAAGCAAGAAGCUGAUAAGGAGCUCUCUCCAAGGCUGUUACCAAGGAGACCGAGAGAAGAGAGGAAUUGAGGAAAGAUAAGGAGAGAACUUCGUAGCUGGACAACGUAGUUUUAGAAAGUUAGCUGAAGUCACUGUUACUUUUCACCAGUGGUGUUAUGUUGAUUUAUUGAUGCCAAUAGUUGGGGCAGAAGAAGUAUAAACAAUUAGAAAGUAUAUAAAAGGUCAGCCACUGUCGAUAAUAAAGAGUUGCCAUCUGA
Vidua macroura (Pin-tailed whydah) is the source of this 486-nucleotide long non-coding RNA. RefSeq lists it as uncharacterized. NCBI's taxonomy places the organism in Eukaryota, Metazoa, Chordata, Aves, Passeriformes, Viduidae. The transcript is spliced from 2 exons. The record is from RefSeq and is a predicted model, not a curated record.